GACGAACGCUGGCGGCGUGCCUAAUACAUGCAAGUAGAACGCUGAAGAGAGGAGCUUGCUCUUCUUGGAUGAGUUGCGAACGGGUGAGUAACGCGUAGGUAACCUGCCUUGUAGCGGGGGAUAACUAUUGGAAACGAUAGCUAAUACCGCAUAACAAUGGAUGACACAUGUCAUUUAUUUGAAAGGGGCAAUUGCUCCACUACAAGAUGGACCUGCGUUGUAUUAGCUAGUAGGUGAGGUAACGGCUCACCUAGGCGACGAUACAUAGCCGACCUGAGAGGGUGAUCGGCCACACUGGGACUGAGACACGGCCCAGACUCCUACGGGAGGCAGCAGUAGGGAAUCUUCGGCAAUGGGGGCAACCCUGACCGAGCAACGCCGCGUGAGUGAAGAAGGUUUUCGGAUCGUAAAGCUCUGUUGUAAGUCAAGAACGAGUGUGAGAGUGGAAAGUUCACACUGUGACGGUAGCUUACCAGAAAGGGACGGCUAACUACGUGCCAGCAGCCGCGGUAAUACGUAGGUCCCGAGCGUUGUCCGGAUUUAUUGGGCGUAAAGCGAGCGCAGGCGGUUUGAUAAGUCUGAAGUUAAAGGCUGUGGCUUAACCAUAGUUCGCUUUGGAAACUGUCAAACUUGAGUGCAGAAGGGGAGAGUGGAAUUCCAUGUGUAGCGGUGAAAUGCGUAGAUAUAUGGAGGAACACCGGUGGCGAAAGCGGCUCUCUGGUCUGUAACUGACGCUGAGGCUCGAAAGCGUGGGGAGCGAACAGG
This 765-nucleotide ribosomal RNA is filed under the name uncultured Streptococcus sp. RNAcentral's name for it is "bacterial SSU rRNA". It matches the Rfam family "Bacterial small subunit ribosomal RNA", at positions 28 to 776 of the family's 1533-position model. The record is from RNAcentral. Lineage: Bacteria; Bacillati; Bacillota; Bacilli; Lactobacillales; Streptococcaceae.